RNAcentral lists this ribosomal RNA (253 nucleotides) under uncultured bacterium. Its description in RNAcentral is "partial 16S ribosomal RNA". It matches the Rfam family "Bacterial small subunit ribosomal RNA", at positions 524 to 776 of the family's 1533-position model. The record is from RNAcentral.
UACAGAGGUCCCAAGCGUUGUUCGGAUUCACUGGGCGUAAAGGGCGCGUAGGCGGCCUUCUAAGUCGAACGUGAAAUCCCCGGGCUCAACCCGGGAACUGCGUCCGAGACUGAAAGGCUUGAAUCCGGGAGAGGGAUGUGGAAUUCCAGGUGUAGCGGUGAAAUGCGUAGAUAUCUGGAGGAACAUCGGUGGCGAAGGCGGCAUCCUGGACCGGUAUUGACGCUGAGGCGCGAAAGCCAGGGGAGCAAACGGG